Molecule: ribosomal RNA, 465 nt
Filed under: Vreelandella stevensii
Lineage: Bacteria; Pseudomonadati; Pseudomonadota; Gammaproteobacteria; Oceanospirillales; Halomonadaceae
Description: partial 16S ribosomal RNA
Rfam family: Bacterial small subunit ribosomal RNA
Source: RNAcentral
CCUACGGGUGGCAGCAGUGGGGAAUAUUGGACAAUGGGCGAAAGCCUGAUCCAGCCAUGCCGCGUGUGUGAAGAAGGCCUUCGGGUUGUAAAGCACUUUCAGUGGGGAAGAAAGCCUUGGGGCUAAUACCCUCGAGGAAGGACAUCACCCACAGAAGAAGCACCGGCUAACUCCGUGCCAGCAGCCGCGGUAAUACGGAGGGUGCGAGCGUUAAUCGGAAUUACUGGGCGUAAAGCGCGCGUAGGCGGUCUGAUAAGCCGGUUGUGAAAGCCCCGGGCUCAACCUGGGAACGGCAUCCGGAACUGUCCGGCUAGAGUGCAGGAGAGGAAGGUAGAAUUCCCGGUGUAGCGGUGAAAUGCGUAGAGAUCGGGAGGAAUACCAGUGGCGAAGGCGGCCUUCUGGACUGACACUGACGCUGAGGUGCGAAAGCGUGGGUAGCAAACAGGAUUAGAUACCCUGGUAGUC